CACUCCUACGGGAGGCAGCAGUGGGGAAUUUUGGACAAUGGGCGAAAGCCUGAUCCAGCAAUGCCGCGUGAGUGAAGAAGGCCUUCGGGUUGUAAAGCUCUUUUGUCAGGGAAGAAACGGUGAGAGCUAAUAUCUUUUGCUAAUGACGGUACCUGAAGAAUAAGCACAGGCUAACUACGUGCCAGCAGCCGCGGUAAUACGUAGGGUGCAAGCGUUAAUCGGAAUUACUGGGCGUAAAGCGUGCGCAGGCGGUUUUGUAAGUCUGAUGUGAAAUCCCCGGGCUCAACCUGGGAAUUGCAUUGGAGACUGCAAGGCUAGAAUCUGGCAGAAGGGGGUAGAAUUCCACGUGUAGCAGUGAAAUGCGUAGAUAUGUGGAGGAACACCGAUGGCGAAGGCAGCCCCCUGGGUCAAGAUUGACGCUCAUGCACGAAAGCGUGGGGAGCAAACAGGAUUAGAUACCCCUGUAGUCCC
This 471-nucleotide ribosomal RNA is filed under the name uncultured organism. RNAcentral describes it as "partial 16S ribosomal RNA". It matches the Rfam family "Bacterial small subunit ribosomal RNA", at positions 334 to 797 of the family's 1533-position model. The record is from RNAcentral.